GGAACGAACGCUGGCGGCGGGCCUCAUACAUGCAAGUCGAGCGCGAAAGUCCGCAAGGAUGAGUAAAGCGGCGCACGGGUGAGUAACACGUGGAUAAUCUACCCUUUGGAUUGGAAUAACCUGUCGAAAGACGGGCUAAUGCCGAGUACGCACUCGAGGGCGUGAAGCUCUUGAGUGGAAAGAUGGCGCAAGCUAUCGCCGAUGGAUGAGUCUGCGUCCCAUUAGUUAGUUGGUGAGGUAACGGCUUACCAAGACAAUGAUGGGUACCUGGUCUGAGAGGAUGAUCAGGCACACUGGAACUGAAACACGGUCCAGACUCCUACGGGAGGCAGCAGUAGGGAAUAUUGCGCAAUGGACGAAAGUCUGACGCAGCCACGCCGCGUGAGUGAGGAAGGCCUUCGGGUUGUAAAGCUCUGUCGCCUGGGAAAAACGGCUAUUGGGGGAAAGUUCCAGUAGCGUGAUGGUACCAGGAGAGGAAGCACCGGCAAACUCUGUG
This 496-nucleotide ribosomal RNA is filed under the name uncultured delta proteobacterium. RNAcentral describes it as "bacterial SSU rRNA". It matches the Rfam family "Bacterial small subunit ribosomal RNA", at positions 27 to 507 of the family's 1533-position model. Lineage: Bacteria; Deltaproteobacteria. The record is from RNAcentral.